GACGGGGGGGGCAAGUGUUCUUCGGAAUGACUGGGCGUAAAGGGCACGUAGGCGGUGAAUCGGGUUGAAAGUGAAAGUCGCCAAAAAGUGGCGGAAUGCUCUCGAAACCAAUUCACUUGAGUGAGACAGAGGAGAGUGGAAUUUCGUGUGUAGAGGUGAAAUUCGUAGAUAUUCGGAAGAACACCAGUGGCGAAGGCGACUCACUGGACACGUAUUGACGCUGAGGUGCGAAAGCGUGGGGAGCAAACAGG
Molecule: ribosomal RNA, 251 nt
Filed under: uncultured bacterium
Lineage: Bacteria
Description: partial 16S ribosomal RNA
Rfam family: Bacterial small subunit ribosomal RNA
Source: RNAcentral